This 511-nucleotide ribosomal RNA is filed under the name uncultured bacterium. RNAcentral's name for it is "partial 16S ribosomal RNA". It matches the Rfam family "Bacterial small subunit ribosomal RNA", at positions 28 to 507 of the family's 1533-position model. The record is from RNAcentral.
GACCAACGCUGGCGGCAUGCCUAACACAUGCAAGUCGAACGGACAGAACAGGGAAGCUUUUCGGAGUGGAACUGGAAAGUUAGUGGCGGAUGGGGGAGUAACGCGUGGACAACCUACCUUGUAAAGGGGAAUAACCUCGAGAAAUCGAAGCUAAUACCCCAUAAUAACCUUGCUUCGCAUGAAGUAAGGAGGAAAGGCGGCCUUAGCGCUGUCGAUACAAGAUGGGUCCGCGUCUGAUUAGCUAGUUGGUGAGGUAAAGGCUCACCAAGGCGACGAUCAGUAGCCGGCCUGAGAGGGUGAACGGCCACAUUGGGACUGAGACACGGCCCAAACUCCUACGGGAGGCAGCAGUGGGGAAUCUUCCGCAAUGGGCGAAAGCCUGACGGAGCAAUGCCGCGUGAGUGAAGAAGGCCUUCGGGUUGUAAAACUCUGUCCUUAUCGAAGAGAGAGUGUUGUAGUAACUGACAAUACUAGGACGGUAGAUGAGGAGGAAGCCCCGGCUAACUAUGUG